Molecule: RNA transcript, 1312 nt
Organism: Sycon ciliatum
Lineage: Eukaryota; Metazoa; Porifera; Calcarea; Leucosolenida; Sycettidae
Exons: 8
Source: RefSeq, a predicted model, not a curated record
CGUCCCAAUUUCAGGACAUUUGUUAUAGUAGUCAUUUGAACGAAAAGUGAAGAAGCUACUGACUGUAGGAAUUUCCUACUUGUGACCGACCCUACAAGUCUAGUCUCUUUUUUUGUCGACAGCCUUGAAUACAGGCCUCUAUCACCAACCUAUUCAGCUUGUCCUAUGUGGACCCGGUCAUGCCAGAUUCUGUGAAGAAAGUGUACGUUGGAAACGUGCCUGAAAAUGCUAGAAGAAGUGACCUGCAGGAGCACUUCUCGAAAUUUGGUGCCAUCUCCGAAUGUGAUAUAGUCCGAGAUUAUGCAUUCAUUCAUUUUGAGAAUGGGGAUGAUGCCCGGGAAGCGGUCCAAGAACUUGAUGGUACUGAGUGGCGUGAUAAAAGGCUGAACGUUCAGCUAUCACAUUCUAAGGGUCAUGGCUAUAGUGUUGGUGGUGGUGGCGGCGGCGGCGGAAGUCGAUAUCCACCAAGACGGUCUCCACCUCCGCGCAGGCGUUCACCACCUCCGUAUUACCGAGGCCGAUCUCCACCCCGAGGCCGAUCUCCACCCCGUGGCCGGUCACCACCGCGAUACCGAGACUAUGGUCCGCCAUCAUACAGCAGCCGCUACGACCGGCGUUCGCCUCCACCACCACCGUCGCGUGAUUAUUACAGGGGACCACCACCACCACCUCCACGUUAUCGCAGCCGUAGUCCGUAUGGUGGCCGCUAUCCCCCACCACCUCCUCGCUAUUCUUCACCACCAAGGGGCUAUGACCGGUAUGGACCACCUCGUUAACCAUCUAACUCGCUUUGAUCUAAUGAUGGCAGCCAAGUGAGCUGCGAAGCAGCAUCCCUAGCCUCAUCAGCAGUGAUGGUUUCAAGGCUGUAUGCUGACAGUUGUUUCUACCACAGCCACCAAGUGACGAUCAAGAAAUGUUCAUUCCAUUGCACUGCUACUGAGUGAUGCCUGCUGACCCCGUUAGGUACUAUCAAAGCAGAUAGUCGUCUCGUGAUAAGCAACCGAAAAUCACCGGCUCUUUCUUUCCUUUGGCCUCCUGUCCAGUAUGCUGUCAAUAUGUGUCAUUAAAGUUUCUUUCUUUAGAAGUUCUGUGCUCCUCUUGUAAUUGUUUUGGUCACAUACUCAAUAAUUCAUAAAAUUCAUAUACGUGCGCUCUUGUCGGUUUCCGUGUCAGACAUGUAUGAUGCGUACUGUAGCGUAGACCUGCCUGCCUUUUCCUUCAAGGUUCCUUUGCAAACAUUGCACCGUUCUUGCCCAUACAAGCGGCGUUGUUCCCCAUUGAGAAACAAGUUUGCACCUGUUUGUUUGUCUGU